This 476-nucleotide long non-coding RNA is filed under the name Mytilus galloprovincialis (Mediterranean mussel). The record is from RNAcentral. Lineage: Eukaryota; Metazoa; Mollusca; Bivalvia; Mytilida; Mytilidae.
ACUAUGGGGGCGUGGUCCUCCUUUCACUUGUUUCUGAAGUACACGAUAGGUAUUCAUCUCUCGAAAUUAAUUAUCAACUAAAUAUCAUUGAAACAAAAUGAAUAUAUUUUAAGACAUCAAUAAAUUUUAAGUGCUACUGGGUUUUUUUAACAGAAUAUGCCGGAAUCGACCCCAUCCGAUGUUGUGUCAAUACAUAGAUCAACGUUGUCAAUUUCCGGCGCCGAAAAUGUCAACGUAAAAUGUCAUUAAAAGUUGGAAUCUUUUCUUCUUUGUAUCAAUUUUGUUUAUCUUAAUGUCAAGAAAGUCAUGGAAUAUGUUGAAUCCAUAUCAACGUUAUACCAAAACAGGCCUUUACUUGGUAAACUAACAGUUUAAGGCCUACAUCAUCAUCAUGAGAUUGACUUGUUGACAUCGUACUUAUAGUUGAUCAAGAUUCAUUUCGUGCAUAUUGUUACCCUUUGUGUUGUUACCGGCCG